RNAcentral lists this ribosomal RNA (442 nucleotides) under uncultured bacterium. RNAcentral describes it as "partial 16S ribosomal RNA". It matches the Rfam family "Bacterial small subunit ribosomal RNA", at positions 338 to 795 of the family's 1533-position model. The record is from RNAcentral.
CCUACGGGAGGCUGCAGUGGGGGAUAUUGCACAAUGGGGGAAACCCUGAUGCAGCGACGCCGCGUGGGCGAAGAAGUAUUUCGGUAUGUAAAGCCCUAUCAGCAGGGAAGAAGAAAUGACGGUACCUGAGUAAGAAGCACCGGCUAAAUACGUGCCAGCAGCCGCGGUAAUACGUAGGGGGCAAGCGUUAUCCGGAUUUACUGGGUGUAAAGGGAGCGUAGACGGCAGUGGAAGUCUGGAGUGAAAGGCGGGGGCUCAACCCCCGGACUGCUCUGGAAACUGUACGGCUGGAGUGCAGGAGAGGUAAGUGGAAUUCCUAGUGUAGCGGUGAAAUGCGUAGAUAUUAGGAGGAACACCAGUGGCGAAGGCGGCUUACUGGACUGUAACUGACGCUGAGGCUCGAAAGCGUGGGGAGCAAACAGGAUUAGAUACCCUAGUAGUC